AAUUAAAACGUAAUCACUGUCGGUAUAAUUGUUGGAGAAUGGCCAACGAGUUCCUACCCUUCUCCCAAGAGAUGGACUACCGAUAGUGUUUUGAUAUUU
Molecule: non-coding RNA, 99 nt
Filed under: Weissella paramesenteroides
Lineage: Bacteria; Bacillati; Bacillota; Bacilli; Lactobacillales; Lactobacillaceae
Also listed under: 1 other name
Description: Guanine sequence
Rfam family: Purine riboswitch aptamer
About the family: Riboswitches are metabolite binding domains within certain messenger RNAs that serve as precision sensors for their corresponding targets. Allosteric rearrangement of mRNA structure is mediated by ligand binding, and this results in modulation of gene expression.
Source: RNAcentral